RNAcentral lists this ribosomal RNA (472 nucleotides) under uncultured bacterium. Its description in RNAcentral is "SSU rRNA". It matches the Rfam family "Bacterial small subunit ribosomal RNA", at positions 26 to 518 of the family's 1533-position model. The record is from RNAcentral.
AGGAUUAACGCUAGCGGCAGGCCUAAUACAUGCAAGUCGAGGGGUAACAGGGUAGCAAUACUGCUGACGACCGGCGCACGGGUGAGUAACACGUAUGUAACCUACCUAUAACUGGGGAAUAGCCUUCCGAAAGGAAGAUUAACACCGCAUAAUAUCACGAGACGGCAUCGUUUUGUGAUCAAACCUCCGGGGGUUAUAGAUGGACAUGCGUAACAUUAGCUAGUUGGUGAGGUAACGGCUCACCAAGGCUACGAUGUUUAGGGGGUCUGAGAGGAUGAUCAGCCACAUUGGGACUGAGACACGGCCCAAACUCCUACGGGAGGCAGCAGUGGGGGAAUAUUGGACAAUGGGCGCAAGCCUGAUCCAGCCAUGCCGCGUGAGUGAUGAAGGCCUAGGGUGUAAGCUCUUUUGUGCGGGAAGAUAAUGACGGUACCGCAAGGAUAAGCCCGGCUAACUUCGUGCCAGCAGCCGC